Lathyrus oleraceus (garden pea) is the source of this 2101-nucleotide long non-coding RNA. RefSeq lists it as uncharacterized. The transcript is spliced from 2 exons. NCBI's taxonomy places the organism in Eukaryota, Viridiplantae, Streptophyta, Magnoliopsida, Fabales, Fabaceae. The record is from RefSeq and is a predicted model, not a curated record.
GUGAGUUCAGGAGGAAGGAAUGUGUGUAAGCAAUACACAGGGUGUAUAUAUCAAAGUACUUGGGAUUUGGUGUUUGGAGGCCUAAACUGAGAGGGGCAAAGGAAGAGUGGAUCCUCAUACUCCCUCACUCACGUUUCCAUCUACACAACCAAUGUCAUCUCCCUCUUAAUUUACUCUCUUCACCAUAAAUCGCUCUGCCGCGUCGAAGGCACCAGAGCAACCCAUAAUGAUCAUCAACCACCACCAUUCUACUCGUUCUUUUCCACUAUAUAUGUUUCUUACAUUCACUCCCUCUAAAAAUCAUUGCAAUCUCUCAAAUCCCAAUAUUAGUUCAAGAACCCUAGAAACCAAUAAAUGGUGAUGGAGGGGAAUCAAGCCAUGCCACCUUGGGGCUUUGAUUCCCCUCAAUGAAGGUUACAUACUGGUAUCAAGAUUAAAGCAAGAGAAAGUGAAAUGGAAUCUACCUUCAAGGUUGAGACUUUCCCUGGGAACUUGUUAAGGAUGAAGAUUAUAAAGCUGAAGAAUAUAGAAGACCAAUCUACUCCUUUUUGCCACAAUUCCUUCUUCUUCUUCUCCUUGAGUCUAGUCUGUAGGAAUUGGUAUCUUCGUGUUGUUGUUGUUGAUGAUAUGACAAGAGUGUAGAGAGUAUAGUGUAUAGGGAGUAGGCUUAGGUUAUGCUCUGAUUACGACAAGCUUCAAUGUGAUUUUUACAUAAUGGAGGAUGAGAGAGCUCUAAAGUGAGGGAGGAUAGAGGUUGAAGAUGAGUUGCAGAGAGAGUGAUAAAUUGUUGAGGGUGAAAUUGCAGAGUGAAAAAGGUCCCUUUAGAUUGAAGAUGAUUGAAGCUUAUAUAGAUGAAUAGAGUGUAACUGAAUUCGGGAAAUUAGGGUAGAGUUUGUUGAAGGUUAUGGCAGGGGUUAAAGCUAGUGGAAUUCAUGAGGAAGUUAGUUGGAGGAAGUUAACAGUGUUAACUGAAAGUUAUUUCAGUUAGUUUGGAUCAGUUUGUUAGUGAAAUGAGACUUGAUAGUUAAGUUAGUUGGUUAGUUGUGAUGUUAGGACUGUUGUGCACUUGAGUUAUGGAAAUGGAGAAUUAAUGUAGUUAGCUUGAUGAAUUCGUGGAGCCAAUUAGGAUAGUGAGAAGAAAUUAGUCAUGUUAGUUUGAAAUGUUAUUGUUAUUUUGGCAUUAGUUAGUAUGAACUACUAUGAAGGUUAGCCAAUAGAAGUUAGUAGGAAUUUGAUAUUUUAACUAUUAGUGGUUAUAGUCGUUAUCUUAAAUGCUUAAAAGUAGAAGUGAACAGUUAGCAGCAUGUUAGUAAGUUAAAAUUUAGUGAUUUGGAACUAUUGACUAGACUAUGAUAGAACUGUUAUAGAUUGUUGGGUUAAUUAGUUAGUAAGCUUGUGUUGAAUUGAACAGUUGUUGAAGGUUCUGCUGCAUAUUAGUGAGAGUUAGCUUUAAAUUGGAACUGUCAUAAAAUAUUAGUGUGGUGGUGAAUAUGGUAUUUGAAUGGAUAUUAGUUGGCUAAGUUGAUCAAUUAAGGUAUGAACUGCUAUGGAAUUGUGUUGAUGUGUUUGUGAACCUAGUUUAGAAACAUAUAGUUGCUAUGUAAGUGAACCAAUUAAUGGUUAGUAGGUCAAUUUAAACUGAUGUGAUUUUGAACUGUUACAGAGGAAUGGUGGUUAUGCAGGUACAUUGGGGUGGCUUGGUUGGCUAUUUAGUUAGUCUGUUAGGAUUGAUACUUGGUCAUGUUGCAAUGCUAUGCUAAUUGGAUUAAGGUUCAUGAUAAGAUGAGACUUUGUUUGGUUUGUUUGGCCCUGAAAAGGUAUAACAUAUCAUGGCUUACCAAGAUGCAAGUUUUUGAAAACAUCAAGAAUAAUGGAGAACUUUGAAGACAUUGGAGGCUUGGAGUAUCAAAAAAUGGGAUGUCUUGUGAAUGAAGAAAAAAUAGAAUUAGGUAGUUUGACUUUGGUCAACUGUUUGACCAAAAAGUCAAUUGUUGACCAAAAGGAAACUCUAGGUCAAACUAAUUUUUUUAUGGGAUUUGGUUUUUACUCUCUUUGUAAUGAAUUUGGAUGUUUGUAAUGAAAGUUGCUCCUUUGAAUGAUA